Tachysurus fulvidraco (yellow catfish) is the source of this 1125-nucleotide long non-coding RNA. RefSeq lists it as uncharacterized. NCBI's taxonomy places the organism in Eukaryota, Metazoa, Chordata, Actinopteri, Siluriformes, Bagridae. The record is from RefSeq and is a predicted model, not a curated record. The transcript has 3 exons.
UUGCUGGAAAGGCCAGGAACCAGAGCUCAGCACUUGGAUACUGAAAUCCACUAAAAAGAAGAGAAUUUCUAAGCAUUAGUUUUAUACAUAAAAAAAAUGAACAAAAUGUUCUUCUCUGAAAUGUGUUUCAGUGCUCAGGUAGGUUUAAUACCAAAAAUCUUAAUAAUUUUGCUGUUAUCUUUUUAUUUUUUGAAAAGUGCUAAAACUCGAAACAUUUAACUGGUGACCGGAAAUACUACAAAGUUUUAAGCUAUAUAUAUAUAAAAAACGGUCAUCAGAGGGGAUGUGUGUACCGCUCAUAUUUACAUAAUAUUCAUAUAAUCAGGGUGUUUGAUGAAAGUGAAAUGUAGACACUGACUAUUGUGGAACUGCCAUGAUGAGCAGUUUAUUCAUUAUAGGAAACUUCAAGUUUAUCUUUUAAUAAAAGGCUAAAGUUUAAUCAGCUGUGAUCUGCGCGCUCGUACGUACAGUCUAAAGGCUCAGAGUUUGUGAGGUGCUUCUUGAACUGCUCGUUUAGGUCUUUGCUGACACCGAUGUCCUGGAACAUGCGCUGCAGCUUGGACGUGUACUCGAAGCCACACGCUUGCUGUAGAAACUGCAAAAGAAGUGCCGGCAUUAAAGCAGGCGGGCAGGCAGAACCUUCAGUUUGGAGAUCAUGCUGGCCUCGGCGUCGUCGCUGGCGCUGUUCUGGUGGACCAGACGCUUGGCCAGCAUUUUUGCAUAAAACUUCUGGAACACGUCUUUGUCCUCGAUGUACUUAAACACCACCAUCUGGAGAAAAAGUUCUACAACUCACCACUUGAUUUAAAGUGUCUUCGAGCUCUGCUUCCUCUGGGUUUUUGGAGCUUUUCUUAAGCAGAGAGUCACAGUAUCGAGCCAGAAGUUCAGGAGAUUUGCUGGACGACUGGACCAUCUUUGUGACGGCGUUGUUGUUGAUGAAGCGCCCACAAGCCUGUUUGGAAACAGAGACGAAAACAAACCGGAUUCACAGCCUUUCUGUUCGCCUCACAAAUGUUUAAAUGUAAGCAUUUCUUCAUGUUUCUGUUCCGAUCGUGUGUGAGGACGUAACGUAUACAUUACAGUUACAGAGAACUUACUUUAAUAAAAAAAAGUUACCUUAUCCAA